Molecule: transfer RNA, 73 nt
Filed under: Urocitellus parryii (Arctic ground squirrel)
Lineage: Eukaryota; Metazoa; Chordata; Mammalia; Rodentia; Sciuridae
Also listed under: 2 other names
Description: Spermophilus parryii (Arctic ground squirrel) tRNA
Rfam family: tRNA
About the family: Transfer RNA (tRNA) molecules are approximately 80 nucleotides in length. Their secondary structure includes four short double-helical elements and three loops (D, anti-codon, and T loops).
Source: Rfam by way of RNAcentral
GGGAAUAUAGCUCAGUUGGUAGAGUGCUUGCCUUGCAUGCACAAAGCCCUGGGUUCAAUCCCCAGCACCACCA